Planococcus citri (citrus mealybug) is the source of this 354-nucleotide long non-coding RNA. RefSeq lists it as uncharacterized. Lineage: Eukaryota; Metazoa; Arthropoda; Insecta; Hemiptera; Pseudococcidae. The record is from RefSeq and is a predicted model, not a curated record. The transcript has 3 exons.
UCAAUUCUGUUGAUUUUUAAUCGUGCAUUCUCUCUGUUUACAGGCAUAAUUGGAGCUGGAACAGGCGCUGCUUCGUGUACGUGUGCUGGAGCCGAUGGCUGGAGUACCGGAUGAAAGACUUCUUCGAAGUUGAUAUCUGAUGUGGUCGAUGAAGCUGAAGAAAUCGAGUAUUGAUCGCAUUGACGUGGAGGUUUAGCAGACGUACCGGAAUCAGAUGGCAGCGGCGAAUCGAUUUUGGCUGGAACAGCAGCUUUUUCAUCAUCAGAGCUCGAUUCGGACAGAUUUAUCUCAGGAAUGGCGAUCGCUGGCAUCGACGCUGGAGCGGAGAAGCUGUCGAAGUUCGGAAGCGAGCUG